GUAGUUGAUCACUGGCUCAGGAAAUAAAACUCGUUCCUUGGUAAGGCCAUAGGUGAACGGGUGCUGAAUACAUCGGAAUCUACUUUUUCGUGGGGGAUAACGUAGGGAAACUUACGCUAAUACCGCAUACGACCUACGGGUGAAAGCAGGGGACCUUCGGGCCUUGCGCGAUUGAAUGAGCCGAUGUCGGAUUAGCUAGUUGGCGGGGUAAAGGCCCACCAAGGCGACGAUCCGUAUCUGGUCUGAGAGGAUGAUCAGCCACACUGGAACUGAGACACGGUCCAGACUCCUACGGGAGGCAGCAGUGGGGAAUAUUGGACAAUGGGCGCAAGCCUGAUCCACCCAUACCGCGUGGGUGAAGAAGGCCUUCGGGUUGUAAAGCCCUUUUGUUGGGAAAGAAAUCCAGCUGGCUAAUACCCGGUUGGGAUGACGGUACCCAAAGAAUAAGCACCGGCUAACUUCGUGCCAGCAGCCGCGGUAAUACGAAGGGUGCAAGCGUUACUCGGAAUUACUGGGCGUAAAGCGUGCGUAGGUGGUCGUUUAAGUCCGUUGUGAAAGCCCUGGGCUCAACCUGGGAACUGCAGUGGAUACUGGGCGACUAGAGUGUGGUAGAGGGUAGCGGAAUUCCUGGUGUAGCAGUGAAAUGCGUAAAGAUCAAGAGGAACAUCCAUGGCGAACGCAGCUACCUGGAACCAACACUGACACUGAGGCACGAAAGCGUGGGGAGCAAACAGAUUAAAUACCCUGGUAGUCCACGCCCUAAACGAUGCGAACUGGAUGUUGGGUGCAAUUUGGCACGCAGUAUCCGAAGCUAACGCGUUAGUUCGCCGCCUGGGGAGUACGGUCCCAAGACUGAAACUCAAAGGAAUUGACGGGGGCCCGCACAAGCCGGUGGAGUAUGUGGUUUAAUUCAUGGCAACGCGAAGAACCUUACCUGGCCUUUGACAUGUCAAUAACUUUCCAGAGAUGGAUUGGUUGCC
This 980-nucleotide ribosomal RNA is filed under the name uncultured bacterium. Its description in RNAcentral is "bacterial SSU rRNA". It matches the Rfam family "Bacterial small subunit ribosomal RNA", at positions 69 to 1019 of the family's 1533-position model. The record is from RNAcentral.